This 570-nucleotide ribosomal RNA is filed under the name Ctenophora environmental sample. Its description in RNAcentral is "partial Bacterial large subunit ribosomal RNA". It matches the Rfam family "Bacterial large subunit ribosomal RNA", at positions 43 to 589 of the family's 2925-position model. The record is from RNAcentral. Lineage: Eukaryota; Metazoa; Ctenophora.
UAUCCGAUGAAGGACGUACAAAUCUGCGAUAAGCUUGGAGAAGUUGAUAAGAAACAUUAUUACUCCAAGAUUUCCGAAUGGGUGAACCUAAUUUCGGUAAUCGGAAUUAUCUCGCUUAAGCGAGAAGGACACAUUGUAAACUGAAAUAUCUAAGUAACAAUGGAAAAGAAAUCAAACGAGAUUCCCUUAGUAGCGACGAGCGAAACGGGAACAGCCCAAACCAUACAUACUGUAUAGGUAGCUUUUGGUAGUAUGGGGUAUGGAAAAACAUUAGGGGAGGCUAAUAAACCUAAUAUAAAAUAUUAUUAUUAAGAGAACAAGAUGGGAAGCUUGAUCAUAGAGGGUUAAAAUCCCGUAUCUUAAAAUAAUUUUAUUUUGUAUAUGUUAUCCAGAGUAGAAUCAGGCACGUGUAACCUGGUUUGAAUAUGGGGGGCCCACCCUCCAAGGCUAAAUAGCAUUCGAGAUCGAUAGCGAACUAGUACCGUGAGGGAAAGGUGAAAAGGACUGCGGUGAGCAGAGUGAAAUAGAACCUGAAACCUAUGGCUUACAAUCAUUUGGAGCGGUAUGCUU